UACUCUUAUUUAAUAAAAUAAUCCUAAUUAAACUCAAACUCUCUCUAUUUCUUAACUAAACCUAAAACAAAUUCCACCUCCUCCACUACUAUUGAUCGAGCGAUUCCACCUUCUCUAGUCCUUCAACUCCGCCACCAUCACAGAUUAAUUGAAUUCACCACCACCAAGCUAAUUCACUACUACCACCAGCAAUUUCCUGACCCAAUGCCUCUCCAUCGCAUAAAACAAAAAAAUAGUACUGUAAACAGAAUGUUUGGGCUUUUUUCUUUCUUCUAUUUCUUUUUCCUUCUCUACUGCUAUUAAAUGGUGGUGUUAGGUUAUUGUUUAUGGUGGUGGGGGUGCUAGGUUGAUGUUGUUGUUGUGGUUGGGCAUUGUUGAUGGCGGUGGUGUUGAUGGAGAGCAGAGGUGAUGAGUUUCUUAAUAAUAGUGGCGUGGGUUUACCACUGGUAGUGAUACUGAAUUUGUUAUUGAAGGUGGCUAUGUGACAAUGGGUUGGUGGUGGUUAUAGGUCACUAGUGGUUAUGGGGGGCAGCAGCGAUGGAUUUGAAAAAUUAUUUAAAAAACGAAUUAUUUAUUUAUGAAUGAUUAAGGAGCAUGAUGGGUUUAUUUAUGUGAGAGAGAAUGGAUUUGAAAUGAAAGAAAAUGAGUUUGAGCGCUGCCAUUACUAAUGCAAGUAAGGUGUUUGGUAAAAUGUCUUAGUUGCUUGGAUUGUUGUUGUUAACGGUGAUGGUUUACUUUGUUGUUGUUGCUGAGAAUUGCAGCAGUGGUAUUAGUGUUGUUAACAAUGGCAAUAUUUGUUAAUUGUAAUGUAUUCUUAGUAGUUUUAGAAUUUAAUUAAGAAAAAAAUAAUAAUCAGCUGAUAAAUAUUUUCUUUUGAAUUCUUAACUCUUAUUUAAUACUUUAAAAAAAUGGAAAAGAAUGAUAGAUGGAUUCACACACUUACUCUAGUGAGAAAAACACACAACCCAAAAAGGGG
This 976-nucleotide long non-coding RNA is filed under the name Ricinus communis (castor bean). Its description in RNAcentral is "long non-coding RNA (RCOM_LNC000506)". Lineage: Eukaryota; Viridiplantae; Streptophyta; Magnoliopsida; Malpighiales; Euphorbiaceae. The record is from RNAcentral.